This 463-nucleotide ribosomal RNA is filed under the name uncultured bacterium. Its description in RNAcentral is "bacterial SSU rRNA". It matches the Rfam family "Bacterial small subunit ribosomal RNA", at positions 28 to 492 of the family's 1533-position model. The record is from RNAcentral.
GAUGAACGCUGGCGGCGUGCUUAACACAUGCAAGUCGAACGAAGCAUUUAAGACAGAUUCUUUCGGGAUGAAGACUUAUCUGACUGAGUGGCGGACGGGUGAGUAACGCGUGGGUAACCUACCCUGUACAGGGGGAUAACAGUUGGAAACGGCUGCUAAUACCGCAUAAGCGCACAGCAUCGCAUGAUGCAGUGUGAAAAACUCCGGUGGUAUGAGAUGGACCCGCGUCUGAUUAGCUGGUUGGUGAGGUAACGGCCCACCAAGGCGACGAUCAGUAGCCGACCUGAGAGGGUGACCGGCCACAUUGGGACUGAGACAGGCCCAGACUCCUACGGGAGCAGCAGUGGGAAUAUUGCACAAUGGAGGAAACUCUGAUGCAGCGACGCCGCGUGAGUGAAGAAGUAGUUCGCUAUGUAAAGCUCUAUCAGCAGGGAAGAUAGUGACGGUACCUGACUAAGAAGCU